RNA transcript from Otolemur garnettii (small-eared galago), 2292 nucleotides. It is a transcript of the gene named ring finger protein 8, with no coding region annotated. The transcript is spliced from 9 exons. The record is from RefSeq and is a predicted model, not a curated record. NCBI's taxonomy places the organism in Eukaryota, Metazoa, Chordata, Mammalia, Primates, Galagidae.
CUCGCGCAAGCGCAGUGCUCCCGCUUCUCUGCUUGGGGAGGGGCGGGCUUGCUUCCCGAGAGCUUGUUUGCAUCGAUCGCGAGCGUGUAGCGAUUGCUUUUGUCUGUUGUUUAGUUAUGGCGCCCGCGAGGCGGCGAAGAGGCCACCGGAACCCGGGUUAGGGUACCAUUCGGUGCUGACCGCCGCCCGCGGUCCAGUUGGCUAUGGGGGAGCCAGACUUCUUGGUCACGGGAGACUGUGUCGGUGGCCGGAGCUGGUGCUUGCGGCGGGUGGGGAUGAACGCCGAGUGGCUGCUGCUGGAGGAUGGGCGAGAGGUGACUGUAGGACGAGGAUUUGGUGUCACAUACCAAUUGGUAUCAAAAAUCUGCCCUCUGAUGAUUUCUCGAAACCACUGUGUUUUGAAGCAGAAUCCUGAGGGCCAGUGGACAAUUAUGGACAAUAAGAGUCUGAAUGGUGUUUGGCUGAACAGAGAACGUCUGGAACCUUUAAAGGUCUAUUCCAUCCAUAAAGGAGACCACAUCCAGCUUGGCGUGCCUCUGGAAAAUAAAGAGAAUGCAGAGUAUGAAUAUGAAGUUACUGAAGAAGACUGGGAGAGAAUAUAUCCCUGUCUUUUCCCAAAGGAUGAUCAGAUGAUAGAUAAAAAUAAGAGCUUGAGAACUAAAAGGAAAUUUAGUUUGGAUGAGGGUUCUGGAGCUGAAGGACCCUCAAAUCUAAAAUCCAAAAUAAGUAAAGUCUCUUGCAAAAUUGGUCAGCUAGUGAAGUCUCAUGGGAAAGGUGAAGUGUCCAAUCAGCUCUCUGAGUGUUUGGAUCCUAAGUUGACUUCUCUUGAGCCAAAUGAAAAGAACACAAGGACUCAUGUUUAUUCUGGCCUCCCAGAAGUCUUAGAGCUUCAUCAUAAGGAGAAAGCCUCAAACCCUUCAACAUCUCAGAGCAGCUUAGAGCUCUUUAAGGUGACCAUGUCCAGGAUUCUGAAGCUGAAAACACAGAUGCAUGAAAAACAGUUGGCUGUUCUGAAUGUAAAAAAGCAGACCCCAAAGGGGAGCUCAAAGAAAAUUGUGAAAAUGGAGCAGGAACUGCAGGACUUACAGUCCCAGCUAUGUGCAGAGCAGGCGCAGCAGCAGGCAAGAGUGGAGCAGCUGGAGAAGACUUUCCAGGAGGAGGAGCAGCAUCUCCAGGGCUUGGAAAAAGAGCAGGGAGAAGAGGACCUGAAGCAACAGCUGGCCCAGGCUCUACAGGAGCAUCGGGCCCUAAUGGAAGAGCUAAAUCGCAGCAAGAAGGACUUCGAAGCAAUCAUUCAAGCCAAGAACAAAGAAUUGGAACAGACCAAGAAAAUGAUGAAGAAAAUUGAAAUCAGCCAGCACGCCAAGUACGCUUGCUCUUUCUAUGGGAAAGCCAAGAUGAAGAGACAAGCUUUGGGGAUCUGGCACUGUGGUUCCUGCAUGAAAACACUAGUAGGGGGUGCCUGGACCUGCAACUACUUCUGCUGUUACGGAAGAGAAGGAGAAGGUACAAGCGCAGAAGGAAGAAGUUCUUAGCCACAUGACUGAUGUGUUAGAGAAUGAGCUCCAGUGUAUUAUUUGCUCAGAAUACUUCAUUGAGGCUGUUACCUUGAACUGUGCCCACAGUUUCUGUUCCUACUGUAUCAAUGAAUGGAUGAAGCGAAAGAUAGAAUGCCCCAUUUGUCGGAAGGACAUCGAGUCCAAAACCCAUUCCCUGGUUCUAGACAAUUGCAUUAAUAAAAUGGUAGAUAAUCUGAGCUCAGAAGUGAAAGAACGACGAAUUGUCCUCACUAGGGAAAGAAAAGCAAAGAAACUGUCCUGAAGACCAUGCUCAAAGGGCUUUUGAAAAACUGUCAGGCAGUAGGAGCUUGGAAUGGCCUAGAGGAUUCUCUGGAUGCGACUCAGCCACUCCGGAGGUCAUCUGAGGAGCCAUGUGGGGCAGAGAGUGAGUUAGGAAGCCCUCCCUCACUCACCAUCCACGUUGGCCAGCCCUGCUGCCAUCCCUGUCUGGAGAACCACCAAGGCGUACUGCACUGACUGCUUCAGGGUACUUCAUAGACUUUGCUUCACUAUGGUUGAGUUGGUUAUUUUGAGUUCUGUUCUGUUUUUUUAAUUUGUUCUUGUUAUUUUGAUACCUCAGAAGCAACUUUGUUGACAUUUGUUUUGGACAGGUUGAGUGUACUCCAUGGCUGCCUGUGACUGCAGCCUCUAUUUUGAGAGGAUGGCUAACCUCUUCUUUGUGAAAACAGUAUGUCAUUUCCUGGAAAUAAAAUGUUAAAACCUGUCAGUUGCA